RNAcentral lists this non-coding RNA (253 nucleotides) under uncultured bacterium. Its description in RNAcentral is "partial 16S ribosomal RNA". It matches the Rfam family "Bacterial small subunit ribosomal RNA", at positions 524 to 776 of the family's 1533-position model. The record is from RNAcentral. RNAcentral also lists the same sequence under 2 other names.
GACAGAGGGUGCAAACGUUGUUCGGAAUUACUGGGCGUAAAGCGCGCGUAGGCGGCAGCGUGUGUCGGGCGUGAAAUCCCACGGCUCAACCGUGGAAGUGCACUCGAAACUGCGCAGCUAGAGUCUCGGAGAGGAAGGCGGAAUGCUUGGUGUAGAGGUGAAAUUCGUAGAUAUCAAGCGGAACACCGGUGGCGAAGGCGGCCUUCUGGACGAUGACUGACGCUGAAGUGCGAAAGCGUGGGGAGCAAACAGG